GACGAACGCUGGCGGCGUGCUUAACACAUGCAAGUCGAACGGAAAGGCCCUGCUUUUGUGGGGUGCUCGAGUGGCGAACGGGUGAGUAACACGUGAGUAACCUGCCCUUGACUUUGGGAUAACUUCAGGAAACUGGGGCUAAUACCGGAUAGGAGCUCCUGCUGCAUGGUGGGGGUUGGAAAGUUUCGGCGGUUGGGGCUGGACUCGCGGCUUAUCAGCUUGUUGGUGGGGUAGUGGCUUACCAAGGCUUUGACGGGUAGCCGGCCUGAGAGGGUGACCGGCCACAUUGGGACUGAGAUACGGCCCAGACUCCUACGGGAGGCAGCAGUGGGGAAUAUUGCACAAUGGGCGGAAGCCAGAUGCAGCAACGCCGCGUGCGGGAUGACGGCCUUCAGGUUGUAAACCGCUUUCGCCUGUGACGAAGCGUGAGUGACGGUAAUGGGUAAAGAAGCACCGGCUAACUACGUG
RNAcentral lists this ribosomal RNA (468 nucleotides) under uncultured bacterium. Its description in RNAcentral is "partial 16S ribosomal RNA". It matches the Rfam family "Bacterial small subunit ribosomal RNA", at positions 28 to 507 of the family's 1533-position model. The record is from RNAcentral.